AUACGUAGGGUGCGAGCGUUGUCCGGAAUUACUGGGCGUAAAGAGCUCGUAGGUGGUUUUGUCGCGUUGUUCGUGAAAUCUCACGGCUUAACUGUGAGCGUGCGGGCGAUACGGGCAGACUUGAGUACUGCAGGGGAGACUGGAAUUCCUGGUGUAGCGGUGGAAUGCGCAGAUAUCAGGAGGAACACCGGUGGCGAAGGCGGGUCUCUGGGCAGUAACUGACGCUGAGGAGCGAAAGCGUGGGGAGC
RNAcentral lists this ribosomal RNA (248 nucleotides) under uncultured bacterium. RNAcentral describes it as "partial 16S ribosomal RNA". It matches the Rfam family "Bacterial small subunit ribosomal RNA", at positions 523 to 769 of the family's 1533-position model. The record is from RNAcentral.